RNAcentral lists this ribosomal RNA (403 nucleotides) under uncultured bacterium. Its description in RNAcentral is "partial 16S ribosomal RNA". It matches the Rfam family "Bacterial small subunit ribosomal RNA", at positions 28 to 526 of the family's 1533-position model. The record is from RNAcentral.
GACGAACGCUGGCGGCGUGCCUAAUACAUGCAAGUCGAACGCAGUGGGGACGGGUGAGUAACACGUGGGUAACCUCCCAUCAGAGGGGAUAACACUUGGAAACAGGUGCUAAACCGAUACUGAUGGCUGAACCCGCGGUGCAUUAGCUAGUUGGUGGGGUAACGGCCCACCAAGGCCACGAUGCAUAGGCGACCUGAGGGGGUGAUCGGCCCCACUGGACCUGAGCCACGCCCCAACCUCCUAGGGUGGGCGGCAGUAGGAAAUCUUCGCCAAUGACCGAAAGUCUGACCGGGCAACGCCGGGUGAGUGAAGAAGGUUUCCGGAUCGUAAAACUCUGUUGUUAGAGAAGCGGUAUCUAACCAGAAAGCCACGGCUAACUACGUGCCAGCAGCCGCGGUAAUUC